This 396-nucleotide ribosomal RNA is filed under the name uncultured bacterium. RNAcentral's name for it is "partial 16S ribosomal RNA". It matches the Rfam family "Bacterial small subunit ribosomal RNA", at positions 361 to 774 of the family's 1533-position model. The record is from RNAcentral.
AUAUUGCACAAUGGGGGAAACCCUGAUGCAGCGACGCCCCGUGAGUGAAGAAGUAUUUCGGUAUGUUAAGCUCUAUCAGCUGGGAAGAAAAUGACGGUACCUGACUAAGAAGCCCCGGCUAACUACGUUCCAGCCGCCGCGGUAAUACGUAGGGGGCAAGCGUUAUCCGGAUUUACUGGGUGUAAAGGGAGCGUAGGUGGCGUGUCAAAUCAGAUGUGGAAGACCGGGGCUCCACCCCGGGAUUGCAUUUGAAACUGGUUGGCGAGAGUGCAGGAGAGGGAAGUGGAAUUCCUAGGGGAGCGGUGAAAUGCGUAGAUAUUAGGAGGAAAAACAGUGGCGGAGGCGGCUUACUGGACUGUAACUGACACUGAGGCUCGAAAGCGUGGGGGGCAAACA